RNAcentral lists this ribosomal RNA (582 nucleotides) under uncultured Alphaproteobacteria bacterium. RNAcentral's name for it is "bacterial SSU rRNA". It matches the Rfam family "Bacterial small subunit ribosomal RNA", at positions 224 to 823 of the family's 1533-position model. The record is from RNAcentral. Lineage: Bacteria; Pseudomonadati; Pseudomonadota; Alphaproteobacteria.
GAUCAGCCCGCGCUCGAUUAGCUAGUUGGUGAGGUAACGGCCCACCAAGGCUCCGAUCGAUAGCUGUUCUGAGAGGAAGAUCAGCCACACUGGGACUGAGACACGGCCCAGACUCCUACGGGAGGCAGCAGUUGGGAAUCUUGGACAAUGGGGGAAACCCUGAUCCAGCCAUGCCGCGUGAGUGAUGAAGGCCUUCGGGUUGUAAAGCUCUUUUGCCCGGGAAGAUAAUGACGGUACCGGGAGAAUAAGCUCCGGCUAACUUCGUGCCAGCAGCCGCGGUAAUACGAAGGGGGCUAGCGUUGUUCGGAAUUACUGGGCGUAAAGCGUGCGCAGGCGGCUUGCCAAGUCAGUGGUGAAAGCCCGGAGCUCAACUCCGGAAUUGCCAUUGAAACUGGCUGGCUUGAGAACGAGAGAGGUGAGUGGAAUUCCCAGUGUAGAGGUGAAAUUCGUAGAUAUUGGGAAGAACACCAGUGGCGAAGGCGGCUCACUGGCUCGUAACUGACGCUCAUGCACGACAGCGUGGGGAUCAAACAGGAUUAGAUACCCUGGUAGUCCACGCCGUAAACGAUGAUUGCUAGCCGU